This 468-nucleotide ribosomal RNA is filed under the name uncultured bacterium. Its description in RNAcentral is "partial 16S ribosomal RNA". It matches the Rfam family "Bacterial small subunit ribosomal RNA", at positions 28 to 507 of the family's 1533-position model. The record is from RNAcentral.
GACGAACGCUGGCGGCGUGCUUAACACAUGCAAGUCGAACGGAAAGGCCCUGCUUUUGUGGGGUGCUCGAUUGGCGAACGGGUGAGUAACACGUGAGUAACCUGCCCUUGACUUUGGGAUAACUUCAGGAAACUGGGGCUAAUACCGGGUAGGAGCUCCUGCUGCAUGGUGGGGGUUGGUAAGUUUCGGCGGUUGGGGAUGGACUCGCGGCUUAUCAGCUUGUUGGUGGGGUUGUGGCUUACCAAGGGUUUGACGGGUAGCCGGCCUGAGAGGGUGAACGGCCACAUUGGGACUGAGAUACGGCCCAGACUCCUACGGGAGGCAGCAGUGGGGAAUAUUGCACAAUGGGCGGAAGCCUGAUGCAGCAACGCCGCGUGCGGGAUGACGGCCUUCGGGUUGUAAACCGCUUUCGCCUGUGACGAAGCGUGAGUGACGGUAAUGGGUAAAGAAGCACCGGCUAACUACGUG